This 1335-nucleotide long non-coding RNA is filed under the name Homo sapiens (human). RNAcentral describes it as "long non-coding RNA NONHSAT168203.1". The record is from RNAcentral. Lineage: Eukaryota; Metazoa; Chordata; Mammalia; Primates; Hominidae.
CAUUUGGAGUGAUAGAAAUGUUCUGUUUCUUGUUUGUGGUAUUGUAAACACAACGGUAUAAAUUUGUCAGGAUUUAUAAAACGGUACACCUAAAAACAUCGAUUUUGCAAUAUGUAUAAUGCAUCUCAAUAUCUUGAUUUUUAAAAAGCUAAAUGCGGCUUACAGAGGGAAGAUAACUUGAGAUUGAGUAUCUUGUUUCUAAACAUAAAUUGUUGAUGUGUUGGCAAGUACAACUUCUAUCUUUAAUAAAAGUUGCCGUGGAUUCUCUCAACGAUGCACACUUAAAUGCAGACUAAAAGUAAAUAUUGAUCUUUUGGGAUUUAUCUUCAUUUUUCCUGUCUUCCUUUCCUUGGCUUUUAAAGAUCACUUCACCUUCCACAUCCUUUUUCCCUUUUCCCAUAGGCUGAUGGAUAAAUGUGGCAGUGGGGUAAGCUGGUUUAGACCAUGACAAGAACAACACUCAGCAAGGCAUCCUAGAAAUUGGGAUGUGUCCGGGAGCAUCUGGAGUGACCACCCAGGCUGACUCAUUGCUUGCCCAGCUGUUAAGAGUUCACUGUUUCUUCCUAUAGUGCCUUCUCUUAUCAUGACUCAGCAAUUCUUCCCCAUCUCUGCUCCCAGCAUAGUGGCUUAGUUGGAGUCUUGCAUCUUUAUCAGCAACAUAUGCAUGGCACUUAGCAAAGGUACAGGUCCUUGGAUGUUUGAGUUUUCAACACUGUCAUGAGCCAUAUAAUGAUUCAAUUUUCCCAUCACUUGUCUAUGUCCAAAUUGCCUCAAAAGUCUUGCACGAUGAGUGGUAACAGCAUUUGCCCUCCGUUUGGUGUACACCCUCUGUAGUUCUUUAGGAAACAGGUAGAAUUUCCAUUCCUUCUAUGAAGUUGAUGCCUGGAGCACUGAGUGAAUUAACUUGUCUUUUUGCCUUAUUGAAUUGAUCAGAAUAUUUGGCAUCUUUCAUCUUCAACCCUUGUCGUCAUUAUUGCCUUGUGACUUUUGUGAAGAAUGUGGUUUCUAUCACAUAAUUCUAUAAAUUCAAUCAAACCAUGACUCAGAAAGUGUUGAUAUCUUCUGAAUGACAUUUUCAACAAAUGCCCCAAACAGUAUGGAUUGAACAGCAUCAUCCAUUGAACUAAUGAAAGCUGGAGCCUGUAUUAUCCUCAGUCCACUGCCUUAAACCUCAGGGAACAAUUAAAUACCCUAGGAUUGGAUUGCUGGGUCAAAGAACAGGAGCCUGUUUAACUUCAGAAGACACUGGCAGCUUUCAUUUCUUCUUUGGUGUAACGUGAUAUUCAUUUUUUAGUUCUUCUGAAGUACUUGAGGGUCCUCAGAGGAAUGAAUCUA